RNAcentral lists this long non-coding RNA (26561 nucleotides) under Homo sapiens (human). Its description in RNAcentral is "HSALNT0401304". The record is from RNAcentral. Lineage: Eukaryota; Metazoa; Chordata; Mammalia; Primates; Hominidae.
GGCUUAUAAACAACAAAUAUUUAUUUCUUACAGUUCUAGGGGCUGGGAAGUCCAAGAUCAAAGUGUCAUCAGAUUUGAUGUCUAAUGAGGGCUGCCUUAUUAGUUCACAGAUGGCCAUCUUCUCACUGUGUCUUCACGUGGCAGAAGGGGAAAGGAGCUCUCUGAAGUCUCUUUUUUUAAGGGCACCAAUCCCAUUCAUGAAGGUUCCACACUCAUGACCUAAUCACAUCCUAAAAGCCCCACUCUAAAUACAAUCACAUUGGGGAUUAGUUUUCAACAUAUGAAUGGGCAGUGGGGUGGAGGGUAGGGGGCACAUGAAGCAGUUAUCCAGUCUAUAGCAGGAGUCUUUACAGUCAUCCAGGCUAUGGAUGGUGGUGGUCUGUUCUCUUGUCACUGCUGAGGAUGUCAUCCUGGGGUUUAUUCUCUGACCCUCCCUGGGCCAGGCGCCUAUGGCUGACAAACCCUUUUCUGAAGGACAUUAUCUUUCUUUGAAGAUUUUAUGUCUUUAUUUAGGUGUACCGUUGCAUCUUGUCUCGGGAUGUUCUGCCCCUUCAAGGGAAUGUGUCAUUCGGGGUUGAGUCAGGAGAGAGAAACCACACCAGUUAUUUGAACAGACAUAAGUCAAUAUAAAGAAUUGUUAACCAGGUAUAAAGUUGUUAAGUAGGUCUCUGGAAAGGAUCAAAAGAACUCUAAGGUCUCAUGGGGGUAGCGACUGCAGAAAGCAUCUACCACCUCUAGGGCUGAAAGAAACAAAGAAAAGACAUUGAAAUUAUUAAGACUUAGAAUCUGGUCUGCAAGUUUUGAAGAAACUUGCAAACUGGACUCAGCUGGUGUUAUAAGAAGACACUGCACCGCUGUUGCCAAGGUGAAUAAGUGAUGCUCAAAACAAUUCCACAAAAAGCAAACAGGAAAGAGCAAAGCCUUUUCCUCUUCUAGACUUGUAGCUCCCUUGAGCACUCCCAUUAGCAGAGACUAAGAGAGCUGCUGGUGAAGCAGAAGUGCAGUUUUUCAGAAUUCCAGCUCCAGCACCACAGACCAGGGUAUGGAAAGGUAGGUUUGGAGCUGAGAGCCAGCAGCUUAAUAACGGGAACAGGGGACAUUAUAUUUCUCUGUUUCUAUCCCGUUUUUACAAAGUGUUUAAUUAUCAGACGUCAGCCUCAUUUCUAAAAUUUGGGGGACUCAUCUCAUUGUCACCUCAAGUGCUUCUCUUAAGUUGCUUUCCGUUUGGUUGUGGGAGCAGACGCAUGUACAAUCAGCUGAUUCUUAGCAACAUGUGAUGCUUUUGGUGAAUGAAGGGCCGGAGGAAGUGGCGGAAUGUGGGGACAUGUGGGGACAGUUCAGCCUGAAUGGUUCUAAUCCUUAGAAGUGGCACAAGGCAUUUGUACUAGGCAUUGAAGCAUGAGUGAUGAGUAGAAUUCCAACUGAGUUGACAAAAGAGUCACUGUAAGGUCCAUUUUACAGAAGAAGAAACUGAGGCCCAGAGAGUUCGUUUCUGGAGUCACAAAGAACCACGUCCGUCCAUCCAACUGCUUAGCCUGGAGUCCUAAACCAUUGCCCUGUGACCAUAGCUUGCAAUUUCUUCAGGUUUAUCAUCCUAUAAAACUGGAAUAAUGAUAUUUGCCUUUUGGGGUAGUGGUGAGGGUUAACUGGUGUCAUAUAUUAAAAACAUAAACCCAUUUUGGAAGACAGAUGCUGGGCACAUUUCCACGCCCACUCACCAGCCUUGCUACUUGUAGUUCAAAUUCGUGCCUCAGCAAAGUUAUAAAUCAGUCCAUGUCAUAGAUCUGAAGGUGGGAGGGGUGGUGGCGUUCUUACAUAGUUGAAACCAAGAACAUAAAAUCCUUGAAUGUCAUUAUCUCAGUGAAUGCUAAUAAUAAGGAUAAUGAUAAUAAUGGUAAUAUGCUUCCACUUAAUGAAUACCUACUAUGUAUGUGCCAGGUAUUUUACAUAUAUUAUAUCACUUUUGUCUAUUCGGCAAAUAGGUAUUUAGUGUGCAACACAUGCCUGGCAUUAUGUUAACGCUAACUGCCAUAAUGAAACUGAGUGUAGGUCUUAUCAUUCCUGUUUAACAGAUGAUGAGGUUGAGACUCACCCCUCUGGCCUCUUUUCUCACUUGUACAACAGGGACAAUAAUAAUCCUACCUGCAGGAUGCAUCAGGGAAUACAGUUCAUAUAGCAUAUUGCCUGGGACAUAGCAGAUACUCAAUGUAUGCUUGUUACUUAAUAGAUUAGCACUACUAUUUCUGCUAGUGCAACCACUGCUCAGGGUCACAGAGCUAGCAAAUGGCCUAUCUGACUCCACAGCCUCUGCUCUGUCCCCUCUGUCAUGCUCUUUAUGCUACGUCAGUCUUUCUACUAUGGCUGCCUUCCCACAAAGGCAGGCCUGGCUUUACUGUAAAUUCUGUUGGAAGAAAAGGAGGAGCAGCCAGAGGGCACCAAGUCACAGCAGAAACAGCUGUUUUGAAACAGAGGCAGGUCCCAGGAGUAGCUAUUAUCAUUUUUUUCUCAUAAAAGUGAUCUACGGAUGAUUGGGUCAAGAUGGCAGAUGGGACACUUAAUGGCAGCCUCGCCCCACCCCUAAAUAUCUAGAAAUAACAGAAAUGUGUGUGUGUGUGUGUGUGUGUGUGUGUAUGUGUGUUCCAAAACCAUAUGGAAAAUCAGGAAGGCAUAUGUCUCCAGUGGUUUAGAAACUACAAAAGAUGAGAUUAAAGAGAAGUGAAAAAAGCCUCAAACACACCAAGGCAGUAACUAAUGGGUGUCAUUUCAAGGGUGGUACAUACCUAGAGCAAAGAGGUUGGGGACAUAGGGGAUUGAUUUGGAGCAGUGCAAUAGAAGCCGUCAGGCAUGGUGACCAGCUCCCUCCCAUCCACCCUGCUUUGGCUAAAUAGUAAGUUACAUAAGUGUCUCCCCGCAGAUGGCAGCAGUAAGUCUGAAUGCAAAACUGUGUCCUGGGUGAGCAGGUUGAGAAACAGAGGUCUCCAAGUCCAGAAAACAAAUUUAUAUUCUAUCCCUGGAGUUAGACUGUGGUGAACAGAUAAAGCACUUUCAGAUAGGCUGACAAGAAAUUUUAAACUUCAAAAUAAAAACAUAGCCAAGAGUCACCAGAUAUUUGGAAAACCCAACACAUGAAACAGUAACAUCAAAAACAACAAACCAAAGAACUUACACCUGAGGAAACAGAGAGCAAAUAGAACCAGACUAUGGAAUAAGUAUCAUUAUAUACCUUGGACAAAUGGCAGAGCCUACUGUAUUCAUAUUUUAAAAAAAUAAAAAAUGCAUCGAGGUUUUAGAAAUUAAAAAAAUUAUUCUUGAAAUAAAAAUCUCAAUAGAUGGGUUGAAUAGCAAAAUGGAUUGAAGAGUAUAUCAGUGAAUCAGAAUAUCAUGCUAAGUAAUUCUCCCGGAAUGCAGUGCAAAACAAUAAAUAGAUGGGUAGAAUGAACAAAAUGUUAUGAGACAUGAAUGACAGAUGUAAAAGUUCCACUAUCUGCUUAAUGUGAAUUAGAGGAGAGAAGAAAAUUAAGGAAGGAGAGUGCCUAAAACAAGGCAAAAAUUUAAGACAAUUUCUUAGAAAUUGGAAAUACUCACAUUGAGAGGAACCAGUGAAUAUUUACAGGAAGAAUGUAAAAACACUGAAAUGUAAGUAAAUCAUGAUGAAAUUUCAGGACAUUAAGGAUAAGGAGGAAACUCUGAAUGUUUUCAGAGUGAAAAAAAAUUAGGCAGGAUGGAAUAAGAAGAUUGAUACCAGACUUUACAUUUGCAACAUAGUAAGUGAGAAAACAGAAUAACAUGUUUAAAGUUUUCUGGUGAAAAUACUUGUGAACUUAUGAUUCUUGUUAAAGUGAACUAAAUAUGGCCUGAGAAGGACUCCAUACUUGUGGACUAACCAUAACCUAACUUAAUAGACAAGAUUGAAAACCUAGCUUAGGAGUAUGCAUCUGUAACAGUAGCUGAGUCGUGGCCAAUCCCAGCAGCCAUACUCCAAUCACUCAUACGCUGCUCCGUGUUCCAACUGUGUUCAGAUAAGUCAAAGCCAACCUGUAACCAAUCUAGCUGUUUCUUUUUCUUUCUUUUUUUUUGAGACGGAGUCUCGCUCUGUCCCCCAGGCUGGAGUGCCACGGCGCGAUCUCGGCUUACUGCAAGCUCCGCCUCCCGGGUUCACGCCAUUCUCCUGCCUCAGGCUCCCAGGUAGCUGGGACUACAGGCGCCCACCACCACGCCCAGCUAAUUUUUUCUAUUUUUUAGUAGAGACGGGGUUUCACCGUGUUAGCCAGGAUGGUCUCGAUCUCCUGACCUCGUGAUCCGCCCGCCUCGGCCUCCCAAAGUGCUGGGAUUACAGGCGUGAGCCACCGCGCCCGGCCUGUUUCUUUACUUCACUUCCAAUUUCUGUGUGUCACUUUCCUUUUUUUGUCUAUAAAUUUGUUCUGAUCAUGAGGCAUCCCUGAAGUCUCUCUGAAUCUACUGCAGUUCUGGAGGCUCCCCGACUUGUGAAUUGUUUUUUCUUCUUGCUCAAUUAAACUCCAUUAAGUUUAAUUUGAAGUGUUCUUUUAACAUUCUUUAACCAGCCAAACUGCAAGUGAAUGUGAGGACAUCAUAAAGACAUUUUAAGACACACAAACAGAUUCAAAAAGUUUAUAAUUCACUGUCCACAUAGAGUAACCUUUCUCAACAGGGUACCACUGGCAUUUGGGGUGGAACAAUUCUUUAUUGUGUAAGACUGAUCCACACAUUGCAGGUUACUUAGUGUCCUUGACCAUCAUCCAUUAAAUGCCAGUAGCAUUUCUCCUCCCCGUGACAAUACACAGCAGCCCCACAUUUGGAGGGGGUGCUGUAUCACCUCUGGUUGAGAAACCAUGGUGUAGAAAAUAUAUUCAAAGAGAAAAUAAAUCUAGGAAAAAAAAAGGGAUAUAAGAAGCACAGGUGAGCAAGAAAAUCAGUAAAGUUUACUUUUAAGUCUAAAUAAAUUAUAACAAUAAACCUAUAAUAAUAAACUAAAAUCUGAGAUAACUCAGGAUGGAGAGUUAUGAAGUCUGGAAAGGAGGUAAGAGAGAGAAGUAAAAGCAUGCUAGGAGCUUCAUUUUAUUUAUACAAUUAGCUCUGGAUGUCAAUUAAUAAUAUGUGCAACUAUGUAUACAAAAAUACAAAGAUACAGAAACUAAACAUAUACUUUUCAAGUCAUUAGAAGAAAAGUUAGUUGGGAACAAGUAAAAUGCUAGCAGCUAACCAAAGAUCAGGGAUGAAAAAGAAACACAAAAACAGCAUAUAAAAUAGAAAGCACAAGGUAAAUUGGUAGAAAAUGUGCAAAUAUAUCAGUAACCAUAAGAAAUAUGACUAUAUCAAAUUCGCUGCUAAAAGACAGUGACUUUCGAAUUGGGUUUAAAAAGAGUCAAACCGUGUGUUUUUGUAUAAGAGACAGUAAAACACAGUAAUAUAGAAAGGUUGAAAAUAAAGAGUUGGAAAAGGUAACUGGGAAAAUGCCAGGAAAAGGAAAGCAAGUGGUACAAGCAAUCUUAUCAUUUGACAGAACGGAUUUUAAGAAAAAAUAAUCAUUGUUACUCAAAAAGACAAAAAAUAAUAUUUCAUAGUGAUAAAAUACUCAAUCUACUAAUCAGUUUAGCCUUAUGCUUGUGUGUGCCUAGUAACAUAGGAUUGAAAUUUGUAAUACAAAAACAGAAUUAUAAGGAGAAAACAAAUCCAUGACUUCGUGGGAAACAUUACCUUUAGAAAUCUAUAGAACAAGUAGUCAAAAAUCAAGUAAGAAACAAAGAUCUAGUACCAUGAUCCACAAGGUUUUAUUAUUAAUAUUAUUACUAUUUAUUUAUUUAUUACUAUUUUAUUUACUAUUUUAUUUAUUUACUAUUUAUUUUAUUUAUUUAUUUAUUAUUUAUUUUAUUUAUUUAUUUACUAUUUAUUUAUUACUAUUGUUCUAUCACCCAAGCUGGAGUGCAGUGGUGCCAUCUCAGCUCACUGCAGCCUCAACUUCCCAGGCUCCAGCAGUCCUCUCAUCUCAGCCUCCCAAGUAGCUGGGACCACAAGUGCACACCACCAUGCCUGGCUAAUUUUUGUAUUUUUGGUAGAAAUGGGGUUUCACCAUGUUGCCUAGGCUGGUCUCAAACUCCUGAACUCAAGCGAUUUACCCACCUCGGCCUCCCAAAGAGCUGAAAUCACAGACAUGAGCCACUGCACCCAGCCCACCAAGUUUAAUCAAAUAAAUUUAUAUAGAGAUAAAUGUUUGCCUUUUUCAAACACACAUGAUAACUUUAUAAAAAUCGUCCUGACUUGAAAUAAUAGCUUUUUUUCCUUUUAACCUUUUAUUUCUUCUUUUCUGUCCAAUGAUGCUGCCUGCUUCUCCUCUUCCCAGGUAACAUUGCUAGCAGAGUGACUGUAUCCAUCUAUAUCUUUCUUCAUGCUCAUAAAAUCAUAUCUAAAUAUAUACAUAUAUAUGUAGAUUUCUCUUCCUAUAGCUUACAAAAAUAGAACCACAGUUUAUAAAUUUCUCUGCAUCUUUCAGAAAUGGAAGAUGGAAGUGCUCUCCAGUCAGUAGACAGAGGUUUCAGUUAUUCUUGUUAAAUGGCUGCAUUAUGUCAUGAUAUAAAUGUACUGCAAUUUACUCAAUAAUUCUACUGUCUAUGGGCAUUCACAUUGUUUUCAGGUUUUUUCCUCCCAUUGCAAUCAUGAUCACUGUUGAUGUGAACAUCCAUAGACACAUAUAUUCUGGUGUUUUUAUUUCUAUGGGAAGAAUUCCCAUGCGUGGGAUUGCCGGGUGAAAGAAUGUGUGGAGUUGUUUUCUUUUGAUAUACGUUGCCAGAUUGCUCUCCAACAAGGUCACAGCUGCUGGCGAUGUGGUGAAGAGUGUCCCUUUCCAGCCUGUAGUAGGUGUUAUCAUGUUCCCAAUUUGCUAGUCUGAUGUGAGUAAAGUGAUAACUCAUUGUUGUGUAAUUUACAUUUCCUUAACUCUUAGGGAGACCGAACAUCUUUUUACAUUUAUUCAACAUUUGGACUUGUUCUUCUGGGAAUUGUCUAGGAUAGCUUUUGAUCAUUUUUAUGCUGAUACCAUUUUUAUUCUGAUACGCACAUAGGUAUUAACCCUUUAUCUGCCAUCUGAUUUGCAAAUAAAUGGAAAGAUCUCAUCAAGUACUAGGUUGAUGUAAUGUCACAUGUUUUCUUCUAAAAUGGUUUCAGUUUUUUAGAUUUAAGUCUUUAAUUCAUCUGGAGCUCAUUUCUGUCUAAAUGACAUAAAAUAAAGUCCCAAUUUUAUUUCUUUUGUCUCUGCAAUGUCCAAUACAGUAGCCAUAGCCACUUGCGGCUAUUGAGCACUUGAAAUAUUACUCUUCAGAACUGGAAUGGGCUGUAAGUCUAAAAUAUACACUGAUUUCCAAGACUCAGUAUGGAAAACAAAGACUGUAAAAUGUCUAAUUUAUAACUUUUAUAUUGAUCAUAUGUUGAAAUGUGAAUGUUUUGGAUGCAUUAGAAUAAAUAAAAUAUUUAUGUAAAUUAACUGUAUAUUUCUUUUUACUUCUUAAUGUGGCUACUAGAAAAAUUUUAGGCCAGGCAUGGUGCCUCACGCCUGUAAUCUCAGCACUUUGGGAGGCUGAGGUGGGAGGAUUGCUUGAGCCCAGGAGUUUGAGACAAGCCUGGACAACACAGUGAGAUCCAAUCUUUAAAAAAUUUUUUAAAAAAAUUAACCAGGCAUGGCGAUAUAUGCCAGUGGUCCCACCUACAUGGGAGGCUGAGGCAGGAAGAUCGCUUGAUGCUGGGAGGUUGAGGCUGCAGUGAGCCAUGUUAGAGACACAGCACUCUAGCUUGGGUGACAGAACAAGACCCUGUCUCAAAAAAAAAAAAAGACAUUUUAAUUACAUGCGUAGCUUACAUUAUAUUUCUAUUGGACAGCUCUAUUUCAGAUGAUCAGUUGCGCCAGAGCUAUUUCUUAAACAUUUUUGCUCUCUUUCACUUAUCUUUUAUCUGCCUCAUGAGGGGUAUAUCUAUUUUAUGUCUCAUAGUAGACAUCUGUCUUAUUCAUCACUUGCCAUCAUCUUUGAAUAGCCCUUUUCUGUUGGGAGAAAUUCACAAUCAUGAGUUUCACCUCUCCAGGGUAGGAGUUAGACCUCAAAUUCCCAAUCUCUCUCACAGUUAAGAUAUGCAUAUUUGACGUUUGUAGAAUGAAUUGGAAGUCAGUUACAUGAGGGAUCAAAUUCUGCAUGGAGUUUUUAUUUCCAUAGGCGCAGGUGGCACAUGCAACCAGCUUUGAUGGUGGCGGUUCCAGAAGAGGUUGCGAGGUCAAGGCCCUGCCUUUGGUGGGUGGUGACAGCAGUGGCAGUUUCUUUAUCAGGCCAGCACUGGGUAUACUUUGGGCAUUGCUUAACCUUGAAUCUGACUUUUCAGCCCUCCCGAUAAUACUGUGAGCUACUUGGCCAGGCAUGAUGGCUCACUCCUAUAAUCCCAGCAUUUUGGGAGGCUGAGGUGGGCGGAUCACUUGAGGUCAGGAGUUUGAGACCAGCCUGACCAACAUGGUGAAGCCCACAAAAAUUGGUCAGGCGUGGUGAUGUGUGCCUGUAGUCCCAGCUACUCGGGUGGCUGAAGCAGGAGAAUCGCUUGAACCUGGGAGGCAGAGGCUUGCAGUGAGCUGAAAUCACGCCACUCUCCUCCAACCCGGGCAAUAGAGUGAUACUCCUUCUCAAAAAAAAAAAAAAUACUAUGAGCUACUCAAUAUCUUUUUAAUAAAUUUGCUUUCUGCUUAAUCAUCCAAAUCAGCUUCUGUUGCUUGCAAUAUAGAAUCCUGACUGAUAUACUGGGAUUUUUUUUCCUUAAAGACAUAGAUUUUGGAUUUAUUUUUUCCUGGUAUUUCCCCUUACUAUUUCUAAAAUAUUAUCUUCCAUCUUAAUGAGUUUCCCCUUCCCCCAGCUAAUUUUCUUGUCCUUUUUCUAUUUCUCAAGAAUAUUGUUUUAGCCUGGAUUCUCUAGAAAACAGAACCUUUGGCAAGUUUGUAUGCCAACACCUCACUGGGGAGUGCAACCUCAGAGAAACCAGAUUGAGGGAAAAAUGAGGCAAGAAGGAGAAGUGCAAAGAUAAGAGGCAUUACUGAGAGGACCCGAGUUUUGUAAUUAAUGAAGCUAACUGCUUGGACUCACAGUACAUCUUCAGAUCUUCAGAGAAGUUGUAUGAACUACCCUGUCUUGGAACAUCCUCAGGAGGAGAAAGUGAGUAGAAUUUAACCACGGCUCCUUCCUGUCUCUUGUCUCAUCCCCUGUGGCUCAAAGUCUCCCCCACAGGGCAUUAACCCUCCAGCACAUUCAGGCUGUAUUACCUGGUCUCUCCAGACAGCAGCCGGGGAAGCCAGAGCCUUCCAGACCAAUCUAGCUAGUGCAGGUAGUAGCUUGUCUCUCCUUUUCUGACAGUGCCACUGUGGGGAUUCUCCAUCUAUAGUGUAGUCAAUGGCAGAGGCAUGGACCUCGUUCCAUGACCAGGGACUAGCUUGCUGUCCCCUGUAGCUCUCUUCUAUCUAGGAUUGAAGGCAAGGGGUUUAGGCCUGAGGUUGGUGAGUAUAGGGCUUAGGGAGAAGAUAUCACAGAGAGAUCUACGGCAGUGCAUACCAAGUCUGGUACAUUCCACUUUGCACCAUUCAGACCUACUUUCACCCUCUUAUAAUAUCUGGAGCACAUAUAAGAACGAUGCCUUCAUUUCGUCUCCUAGGGGAGAGAUGCAAGUCAGUCCUCCAAGGUGGUGACUUGUUGCAGCUUCUGGCAAUUUUAGAGGGUUGGCAAACCAAGUACAGUUUUUGCUGCUGUAACCUGUUCCAGGAUAGUAAUUCCAAUUCAUUGUCUUCCUCCUCUGCUACCUAUUCUGGAUUUCCCUCCCUCUUGGCUAUUAUGCAACUGAAAUGGGUUGCUUCCUGGUGGAGUGACUCAGACCUUCCUCCUCAAGGGAUCUGAGGGAUCUGAGCCCUUGCUCUUGUCUAACUGUAGUUGCUGCAAGGAAUUUAGGACUGUCCUUUGCAUGGAAGUCCUAAGAGAUGCCCAGGGAUUCCCUGGAUUCUCAUUGUGUAGCAGUUACCCCAGCUCCUCAUGUUACAGGGUGGAUUAUCUCAGCAGGUAAAACCAUUCUUUCUUUAUCUGCUAGUCAACUGGCAUGAAUGACCAAAAUGGCCCCAAAUGGCCAGCUGGUUUGAGAGGCUAAUCUUACUUCCAGUCCUUUGCUCCUGGGGAUAUCACACUGUAUAUUGGCCAUUAAUUCAGUGUAUGUACCAUAUUCUGGAGGAAAGCACCUCAUCCCCAAAAGGUGUCGUCUCCAAGCUGGUACCUUAACUAAACCUUGGAGAGGCCAUUUCUGUCAGUCUGAUUGCUUUUGGGUGAUGAUGUAUAGCCUUGCUACUUAAAGUUUGUGUGUGUGUGUGUGUGUGUGUGCGUGUGUGUGUAGGGGACCAGUAGCAGCAGAAGAACCUGGGAGCAUUUUAGAAGUGCAAAUUCUCAGCCAGCUGUGGUGGCUUACACCUGUAAUCCCAGCACUUUGCAGGCCAAGGCAGGAAGAUCGCUUGAGCUCAGAGUUCAAGACCAGCCUGCACAACAUAGUGAGGCCCUGCCUCUACAAAGACAAAAAAAUUAGCCAGGCUCAGUGGUGUGCAUCUGCAGUGAGCUGAGCUAUUAUUCCAACAGUGCAGUCUAUCCUGGGUGACAGAGCAAGACCCUGUCUUAAAAAAAAUUGCAAAUUCUCAGGCUCCCCUCCAGACCUACUGAAGCAGAAUCUGCAUUUUAACAAGAUUCCUAGGUGAUCUGUAGGCACAUUAAAGUUUGGUACCUGGUUUACAUGGUAAGACCUAUGUGAUGUUCACUGAAGCAGGGCAAUGGUUGAUGUCAGAGGAGGAAGCGUGGGGUACAGGGUUGCUAUGGAUCUGUAGCAAUACAUAAACUGAGUCAUAUACAAGUAUUAAGUUCAUUUAUUGACAAAGUUACUUAAGCCUAUACAACUUCCAUUGACUGCAGCUUUUUCUGUCUUCCAUUAGCUUUUGAAUGACGAGGUCUCCUUUCCAUUGUUUUCCAGAUAAUUUGUAAUUUUAUUUUUUAUUUCCUUUGAUCCAACGGUUACCUAACACUGUAUUUCUUACACUUAAUUUCCAAAUCAGUAGCAUAUUUUGGUAAUAUUUUAAAUUAUUUACUUCUCUUUUUAUUGGAUGAUGAAUGGAAAAGAUAGCCUAUAAAAUACCUAAUUUAUUUAAUUUUUCAAGAUUUUCCUUAUGACCCAAUAGGAAAUAAAUUUUGGUAAAUACUCCAUGUAUGCAUAAAAAUCUAUAUUCAGUAGUUGAAGAAAUACUUAUUUGAGUUUGCUGAUUCUAUUUUUAAUCCUUCUACGCAUCCAUUUUUCCUAUUAGAGCUACUGACUUUGAAAUAGACAUGUUGAAGUCUCCCAUCGAAAUUGUAUUUUUAUGAGGCUCUCUUUAUAUUUCUAAUACUUUUUUGCUUUCUAUAUUUAUUUGCUAUGUCGUUUGGUGCAUAAAGUUUUAUGCUCAUUAAAUCCUCUUCUUAAAUUUUGUAGUAAUAAUAUCCCUCUUUAUCCAGUUUGGAAUUUUAUUCCUAAAAUCCAACCCAUGUGAUGUGGAUAUUGCUACUCAAACUUUUUGUUUGUUUCCAGAUCAAAACUAAUUUUUGGAUCCUGAACACACUGAGCAAGAAUAUCCGUUGUGGCCCUGAGACCAGCUGCACUGGCUGGGUUGGUAGUGUCUCCCUCUAACCCUCCUUUUAAGUUUCUCCCAGGAAAGAUGCCCACGGGAAUCCUGGAGUUGUAGCUCCUGGCACCUAAGUGAAAAAGUGGCUCUGUGUGGCAAACGGGCAGACUGUAGUGGACACUUGGUGUACUGCCCAGAUUCCCCCUCAAGAGUGAAGGACUUAUUUCUAUAGCUGCUGGCAGUGUUGCCAGCAAAUAGCCAUCAGAUAUCAGCUCUUUUCUGGAAGUGCCUGGGUUGAAGAGUCCAGGCUUACCCAAGGUCACGCCCUCUCCCAAGACAGUUCAUGCCUUAUUACUGGUGGACAUGAAGGCACAAAGCCCCAGCUCCCCUCACUCCAACUUGGGACAACCCUGAAGUGCCAUUACAGCUUCAAAGCUCCUCAAGGAGAUGGCUGUUGCUUUUAUUGAAUCUGUAUCACAGUCCACUUCCUCACUUUGCCUGAUCCUUCUUCCUUCCCUUUCCAAGAUGUUGAUCCCAAGAGCUCGCCUUAAUAAAUUUCCUGCAUGCACAUCUCUGAGUCUUCCUUCUACGGAGGCCAGUUUAUGACAAUUGGAGGUUGUCCUUAUUCUUAGGGGAUGUAUACUUAAGAGUGAAGAGUCAUAACAUGGGUAAUUUAUUUUCAAAUUAUUCUGGAAAAAUGUGUAUGCAUAUAUGUAUAAAAAGGAGACAGAGAUAAAGCAAGUGUGGUAACAUCUUAACAACUGGUGAAUCUGGAUGAUUCAUAUACGGAUGUUUAUUGUAGCAUUCUUCUGCCUUUUCUGAGGAUUUGACAUUUACAAAAUAUCAAGGUGAAAACAAAAUCCCUUUCCUCUAUUUUUAAUAGGUGUUUCAGUGGGAACAAAAUUAGGCUUGUAUAUUCAAUCUGUAUCUUUACCUGGGACCUCUUCAUUAUUUUUAAACCUUUGUUUUGUUUUUCUAAUACAAUUAUUUAAAUCUGUACAGGCAUACCUGGUUUUAUUGCACUUUCCAGCUAUUGUGUUUUUAUAAAUUGAAGAAUUGUGGCAACACUGCAUAGAGCAACUCCACCAUUUUUUUCUAACACCAUGUCCUCACUUCAUGUCUCUAUGUCACAUUUUGGUAAUUCUCACAAUAUUUCAAACUUUUUCACGAUGAUUGUAUCUGUUACGGUGAUUUGUGAUCAGUAAUCUCUGGUGUUACUAUUUUAAUUGUUUUGGGGUACGAAUGUGCCCAUAUGACAGUGAACUUGAUCCAUAAAUAUUAUAUGUGUUCUGAAUGCUCCACUUACCAGCUGUUCCCUUAUCUCUAUACUUCUCUCCUUGGGCCUCCCUAUUCCCUGAGACACAGAAUAUUGAAAUUAGGCCAAUUAAUGACCCUACAAUGGCUUCUGUGUGUUCAAGUGAAAGGAAGUGUUGCACAUAUCUCAUUUUAAAUCAAAGGCUAGAAAUGAUCCCCACAAGCACAAGUAACUAAAGCAAAAAUGGACAAAUGGGUCACAUUAAGUUAAAAAGCUUCUGCCCAGUGAAAGAAACAACAACAUGAAAAGACAACCCACAGAAUGGAUGAAAAUACUUGCAAACUAUCCACAUGACAAGGGAUCAAUAACCAAAAUAUAUAAGGAGCUCAAAUAACUCUAUAGGAACAAAAUCUAAUAAUCUAAUUUAAAAAUGGGCAAAAGAUCUGAUGAAUAGACAUUUUUCAAAAGAGGACAUACAAAUGAGAAGCAGGUGUAUGAAAAGGUGCUCAACAUCACUGAUCAUCAGAUAAAUGCAAGUCAAAACUAUAAUGAAGCAUCAUCUCACCCCAGUUAAAAUGGUAUUUAUCCAAAAGACAGACAAUAACAAGUGCUGGUGAGGAUGUGGAAAAAGGAGAACCCUCAUACACUGUUGGUGGGAACGUAAAUUAGAACAAUUCAGAGGUUCCUAAAAAAACUAAAAAUAGAGCUACCAUAUGAUCCAGCAAUCCCACUGCCAGGUAUAUACACAAAAAAAUGGAAAUCAGUAUAUUGAAGACAUAUCUGCAUUCCCAUGUUUAUUGAAGCACUAUUCACAAUAGCCAAGAUUUAGAAACAACCUAGUGUCCAUCAACGAUGAAUUGAUAAAGAAAACGUGGUUGAUUUAUACAAUGGAGUACUAUUCAGUCAUAAGAAUGAACGAGAUCCUGUCAUUUGCAAUGACGUAGAUGGAACUGGCAGUCAGUGCAUUAAGUGAAAUAGGCCAGGAACAGAAAGACAAACUUGGCAUCUUCUCACUUAUUUGUGGGAGCUAAAAAUUAAAAGAAUUGAACUCAUGGAGAUAGAGAGUCAAAGGAUGGUUACCAGAGGCUGGGAAGGGUAAUUGGGAGAGGGGUAGGGGAGUGAGGAUGGUUAAUGGGUCCAAAAAAAUAGAAAGAAUGAGUAACACCUGAUAUUUGACAGCAUAACAGGGUGAUGACAGUCAAUAAUAAUUUAAUUGUACAUUUAAAAGCAACAAAGAGUACAAUUGGAUUGUUUGUAACACAAAGGAAAAAUGCUUGAGGUGAUGGAUACCUGGUUUAUCCUGAUGUGAUUAUUACACAUUGUAUGCUAGUAUCAAAAUAUCUUAUGCAGCCCAUAAAUAUACAUAACUACUAUGUCUCCACAAAAAUUAAAAGUUAAAAUUAAAAAAAGAGAAAUGAUUAAGCUUAGUGAGGGAGGCAUGUUGAAAGCCAAGAAAGGUCAAAAGCUAGGCAUCUUGCACCAAACAGCCAAGUGGUGAAUGCAAAGAAAAACUUCUUGAAGGAAAUUAAAAGUGCUAAUUCAGAACACAUGAAUGAUAAGAAAACAAAAGAGCCUUAUUGCUGAUACAGAGAAAGUUUGAGUGGUCUGGAUAGAAGAUCAAACCAGCUGCAACAUUCCCAUAAACCGAAACCGAAUCCAGAGCAAGCCCCUAACUCUCUUCAAUUCUAUGAAGACAGAGAGGUGAAGAAGCUGCAGAAGAAAAGUUUGAAGUUAUCAGAGGUUGGUUUAUGAGGGUUAAGGAAAGAAGCCAUCUCUAUAGCAUAAAAAUGCAAAGUGAAGCAGCAAGUGCUGAUGGAGAAGCUGCAGCAAGUUCUCCAGAAGAUCUAGCUAAGAUCACUGAUGAAGGUGGCUACACUAAAAAACAGAUCUUCAAUGUAGACAAAACAGCCUUCUAUUGGGAGAUGAUGCCAUUAAGGACUUUCGCAGAUAGAGAGAAGUCAAUGCUUGGCUUCAAAGCUUCAAAUGAUAGGCUGACUCUCUUGUUAGUAGCUAAGGUAGUUGGUGACUUUAAGUUGAAGCCAAUGCAUAUUUCCCAUUUCUCAAGUCUUAGAGCCCUUUAGAAUUAUGUUACAUCUCUUUGGCCUGUGCUCCAUAAAUGUAACAACAAAGCCUGGAUGACAGCACAUCUGCUUAUAGCAAGGUUUACUGAUUAUUUUAAGCCCACUGUUGAGAACUGUGCUCAGAAUAAAAAAGAUUCCUUUCAAAAUAUUACUGCUCAUCGACAAAACACCAGGUCACUCAGAAACUCUGAUGAAGAUGUACAAGGAGACAAAUGUUGUUCCUAUCCCUGCUAACACAGUAUCCAUUCUGUAGCCCAUGGAUCAAAGAGUAACUUUGACUUUCAAGUCUUAUUAUUUAAGAAAUACAUUUUGUAAGGCUAUAGCUGCCAUAAAUAGUAAUUCCUCUGAUAGGUCUGGGAAAAAUACAUUGAAAACCUCCUAGAAAGAACUUACUAUUCUAGAUUACAUCAAGAAUGCUUGUGAUUCAGGAGAAGAGGUCAAAAUAUCAACAUUAAUAAUAAUUUAGAAGAAGUUGAUUCCAACUUUUAUGGAUAACUUUGAGAGACUCAAGGCUUCGGUGGAGGAAGUAACUGCAGAUGUGAUAGAAAUAGCAAGACAACUAGAAUUAGAAGUGGAGCCUGAAGGUGUGCCUGAACUGCUGCAAUCUCAUGAGAAGACUUUAAUGAGUGUGGAGUUACUUUUUAUGAAUGCUCAAAGAGAGCAAUUUAUUGAGAUGGCAACUACUUCUGGGGAAGAGUCUAUCAACAUCGUUAAAAUGACGACAAAGGAUUUAGAAUAUUACAUAAAUUUAGUUGAUAAAGCAACUGCAGGGUUUGAGAGGAUUGACUCCAAUUUUGAACGUUCUACUGUGGGAUAAAUGCUAUCAAACAGCAUCACAUGCUACAAAGAAAGCUUUCAUGAAAGGAAGAGUUGAUUGAUGCAGCCAACUUCAUUGUUGUUUUAUUUUAAGAAAUUGCCACAGUCACCCCGAACUUCAGCAAACUACCACUCACAUCAGUCAGUAGCCAUCAACACUGAGGUAAGACCCUCCCACCAGCAAAAAGAUUACGACUCACUGAAAGCUCAGAUGAUCAUCAAUAUUUUUUAGCAAUAAAGUAUUUUAAAAUUAAGGUAUGUACAUUUAUAGACAUAAUGCUAUUGCCCACUUAAUUGAUGACAGUAUAGAGGAAACAUAACUUUUAUAUGCACUGGGAAACCAAAAAAUUCAUAUGACUCACUUAAUUGCAAUAUUAGCUUUAUUGUAGUGGUCUGAUACUGAAGUUGCAUUAUCUCUGAGAUAUGCCUGUAUAUCUUCCUUUGAAUGCUUCUUCGGUCAUAGUUCACAGAUUUUUUAUUUUUUGUGCCCUCAUUGUUAUUCAUUAGAAAUAAUUUAUAAUUUCUACUUUAAUUUUUCUUUUGAACCCAAUAGAUAGUUAAAAGAGUAGGUUUUGAAUAUUCAUGUCUAUAGGGGUUUUGUUGGUAAUGAGGUUUUUGUUUGUUUGGCUAUUCUUUGGCGAUUUCUAGUUUUAUUGCAUUGUGGUCUGUGAACACAUUUCUGCCAUUUAGAAUAUAGUGGAAUUUCCUCUGAGAAUUCUGCGGGGAUGGUUGUUGAAUACAUCUGUGCUGCCUUCAUCCUUCAAUUUAAAACCAGCUACUGAACCUUUUGUGAGCCAAGCAGCUUCUGGGGUUUAGAGAUCUAGUGCAUCUCUGGGGUCCAGAAGAAGGGAGUUGGCAGAGCAAGUUUCUGCUUCUGAGCCCCACGACAGCCCGGGGACUGGAGGUGCAGAGCCCAGGAGUAAUGGUCAGAAGAAAAGUGAAAUCGGGAACACUUGACCUACGGAAAUCCAAGGACCUCCCAAGGGAGAGGCUGCAGCUGCCCCCGUGAGCACUCUAUGGUCUCAUUGUUCCAGCUCAUACAAAGCUGUGGGGGAGAACAAAAGUGCUAAAUCCUCUCCUCAACUGGGAAAAUGCCAGUCUUUGCAGCUGAAGAGACUAGCGGGCAGAGGGAGACCUUUUGGGACCAACCACUUGCCAGCGGACCCAGCAAGUCAAAGACUGUUGCAACAUCCAUUACUCGAGAGACUGGCCUUGCUCUAGAUCCCCAGCAGCUGAACAUGGGCCCCAGUGGGUCAGCAAAGGAAAAUACCAACCCAUCCUGGGGGACCCAGAAGUGAGAAAGUGAAAGAACCAGCAUAUUGCAGAGAACAACAGCUACAAACCUUCUGGGGGAGAGAGAGGACAGCCUGAACCAAAAACAAUGAUAACAACAACACGUAAGGAACCACAAAUACAGUGUGCAUAAACGCACGCAUACACACACGCAUGCACACACGCGCACACACAUGCAUGCACACAUACACACAUGCAUGCACACGCACACACGCAUGCACACACACACAUGCACACACACACACAUGCACACACACACAUGUUCUGGAUCUAAAGAAUCUCAUUUUCAGACUAAAAAUUUCAAGAGAUGAAUCAAAGGAUUGCAGAGUCACUGUUGAAACCUGACCUAGAAUGCCAAAUGGAGUAAUGAAACAAAACACAAAUCAAAAAUGCAAAGAGAGGAAAAUUAUGAGGUGAAAUAAACAGUUUGAGGAAAUGAUGCAGGCAAUCAAAUACUUGCAUAUUUGGAUUAUUCUAUGUUGGAAUUAUUAUUAUUAGGAUAAUAGAAAUUUGUAAAAUAAAGCAGAUGGAAGACAGGCAAUAAUUAAACAAAUAAUAGAGGAAAUUGUCCUUGAAAAUUUUCCAAUAAAGACUUGAUCUGAGAUUUGAAGGACCCACUGAAUUCCAAACAGAACUUACACAAAAUAAUACUCAUCUUUAGCCAUGUCCUGAAAACAAUGACUGAAAUCUCAAGUGUUAAUAUAAAAGCUUACUCAUUUCUAGAGAGGGAAAAUAAGUAACUUACAAAGAAACAAUGAGAUGUCAUUUGACUUCUCAUCUGCAUCCGUGGAAGCAAACUAUGCUGUAAGUAUAUCUACAGAUUUCUGAGAGAAGAGGAAUCCUAAAAGAAAGACUAAUAGUAAUGUCAGACUGUAAGUCCUGAAGGAUCUCAGCCUAGUAUUUAGGGAAGGGGUGGAAGAAGAUGGAAGGUAAAAGUGUUUCAAUAUCUUUGCGGGCUGAGGAUAUAGAAAAAUACUACAAAUAGGUCUCUUUAAUGUGGGGAAAUAGAUGCUUUUCUCACAUAAUGGAGGAUUAUAUAAUUGCAAUUGUGUAUUUUAUUCUGAAUGUGAAAAAAAUACAGAUAACCACUCAUGGCAUGGAAAAGUAUAGCGCUUCUCUAAGAAACCUAUAAGAAUCUAUAAGAAAAUCUAAAAGAAAAAAAUCUACAAGAAAAAAAAAAUCUAAUAAAUGGCCAUGUUACCAAGCCAUCAAAAACAAGAAAAAGAGAGAAAGGACAAAGUAAAAUAAAUAGUGAACCUGAGUUAAAAUGGAAGAAAUGAAAUAAAUUAUAUCCAGGUUUACACAAACCUCAAAUGAGCCGAAUUCUCCCAUUAAAACUCAAAGUUCAUUAAAUAGGAUUGAAGAACAAAAACCAGCCAUAUGCUGUUGUUAGAAAUACUAUAUCAGUCAGAAUUGGUGUAACAGAAACCCAACUUACAGUGGUUUAAAUAUGUAAGAAAUUUAAUUUUCCUUGCAGCAGAGAGCUGCCGAUAUAGGCAGCUGCUCAGAAAACCUCUACCCUUUUCCAGCUUCCCUCACCCUCAGCACCUCUGCUGGGCUUGGUAGCUUACCUGAUGGUGUGACCCCAACCUUCAUUCCUAAGCGAUCUGAGCCCUUCUUGGUCACCAUGCCUCUCAUGUAUGAGGCCAUGAUGGAUGUACGUGUCCAUUUACCAUCAAAACUGGGCACCUGAUCCAUAUACCAAGCUCAGGCUCCUUCCUCCUCUGUUGGCUGGUCAUAAAGGACCCUUCUCUCCACCCCAUGCAGCCAUCAGUAUGAGCUGAGAGCAAGACAACAGGUGGAUGAGAUGGGGGUCUGGUUACCUGCUCACGCAGCUCGCUUAUGCCAUCUGGUCCUCCUUCUGCUCAAUCCUCCAUGUCCCACUUCUAUUCUGGCAUGCUGCUGGGCCCACCUGAUCUUAUGACUUGGUUGAUCUGACAAAUAUCUGACUCAUUGUGGAUAGUUUUGGCUGCACAAUCGUUUGCUUUCCCGUGAUCGGGUGUUCCCUCCCUCCGGGGCCAAGUAGCCCUCAGGAGCUUGUGAUGGUUAAUUUUAGGUGUCAACCGGACUGGGUUAAGGAAUAGCUAGAGAACUUGUAAAGCAUCACUUCUGGGUGUGUCCGUGAGGGUGUUUCCAGAGGACAGUGGCCUGGGACUUUGUGGACUGAGAGGAGGAGAUCUGCCCUCAUUAUGGGCAGGCACCAUCCAAUCAGCUGGCACCCGCAUAGAACAAAAAAGGCAGAAACAAAACAAAACAAAACAAUUUUCUCUCUCUCUCUCUCUCUCCCUCCCUCUCUUCUUCUCUCUCCUGGAGCUGGAACACACUUUUUUCUCCUGCCUUUGGACAUCGGAACUCCAGGCUCUCCAGGCUUUCCAGACUCUGGACUUAACAGCAGUCUCUGGACUUACAACAGCAGCCCCCUGGAUCCUCAAGCCUUUGGCCUCAGACUAAUAAUUAUAUCAGCAACUUCCUGGUUCUGAGGCUUUUGGGCAGCCAUGCUACUAGCAACCCAGCAGUUCCAGCAGAAGGCCUGUUGUGGGACUUCUCAGCCUCCAUGAGCAUGCCCAGUUAGAAAAGAACUCUAAAAGGGUAAGCUUGCUUAAAAGAACUCCAGAUGGCCCGGGAGCUGCAGGACCCUUUGCCAAUUAUCAGAGGAAGAUAAGGCCUGUGUGAAACCGGGACAAACCUGAACCAGCGACCCCGUGUUACCUUUAGAUCAUUAACAUAUCAUCAUAAUGCUAAAACCUCACCCAUAGAAGAUAAUUGCUGCCAUUUUCUGAAUAUACAUUAUAUGAAGAAGCAUGUUCAUGAUCUGCACCUGCACAUCUGGAGUUCCUCCCCAUACAUGUUUACGUACCUCCCUGCCCCACAUCUAACUCCUUAAAAUCCCCCAGCUUCUCAUAUCUCAGGGAGAAGGAGUCUUUAGAGAAAGAGCUCCCUCCUCCAUUCCUGGCCAGGAAUAAAACCUGCUUGCCUUUUUUCCCAAUUAGGUGUUACAGUAGAACUCAGUUACCCUGUAACAAUAAGAAUUGCAUUAAAUCCUUAUAUCAACUUGGGAAGAAUUGACAGCUUUACCAUAUUAAGUCUUCUAAUCCAUAAAUAAGUAUGUUCAUCCAUUUUUUUAGAUUUUUGAAAUUUCUUUCAUCAGCAUUUUGUAGUUCUUUGCCUCACUAUCUAGAUCCCAAAUAUUUUCUGUUUUUUUUUUCUGAAAGUUUUAUCUCUUACAAUUUAAACCUGAGUAGUUCUCAGCAUGCAAGCCCCAUACAUGUUUUGUUGGAUUUAAAUUUAAGUACUUUGGUUUUUGAUAAAUUGUAAGUGCUACUGUAUUUUAAGUUUCAGUGCCCAUGUGUUCCUUGCUGGUAUAAAGAAAUACAACAUAUUCCUGCAGUCUAGCUGAAGUCACUUAUCAGCUCUAGGAGUUUCUGUUUUUUGUUUUAUUUUUGGUAGAUCUUUGAGAUUUCCUACUUUGAUAAGCAUGUUAUCCACGAAUAGGGACAGUUUUAUUACUACCUUUCUGAUCUGUAUGCCUUUUAUUUCCUUUUCUUACCUUAUUGCAUUGGGUAGAACUUCUAACACUGUUUAACAAUAAUGGUAAGAGCAGUCAUCCUUGCCCUUUUCCUCUUCUCAGGGGUACAACCAUUCAGUCUUUCACUGUUAAGUAUGAUGCUGGCUGUGGAGUUGUUAUAGAUGCUCUUUAACAAGUUAGGACAAAUUCCCUCUAUUUCUCUUUUUCUGAGCAUUUUUAAAACCAUGAAUGGGUAUUUUGUGAAAUGCUUUUUCUGUAUUGAUUGGUAAGAUCAAUUUUCUUUUGUAUCCAGUUAGUAUGUUGGAUUAUGUUGACUGAUUUGUGAAUAGUAAAACUGCCCUGCAUUCCUGCAGUAAGCUUCGCUGUGUUACAAGAUCUUUGGGGUGUUGCUUUUCUGGCCAGAAACCUCUGUGGCCAGUGGUGCCUUUGCCCAAGUUUUGUUUGGGCUCACUGGGCUCAUUCCGCCCACUCGGCCUGGCAGGCUGUGCUCAGCUCAUGCUACCAGCCUGGACCCCAUGUCUGCCAAAGGCAAGUCAGGCAUGGAGUGGCAAGGGGUGUGUGAGUGAGCGUGGGGUCUGGCCACUGUGCAGUCAGACAUGUCAGCUGCUGCAGUGGGGUGGGCAGCUCCAGGUGCUGGCACAGGCACUAGUCCUCUGUGAGGCUGUGGCUGAGCCAGGCACACUGCACGCAGCUUCCACAGCUGGUACUGGGGAACAAAGUGGUGCCUGGAGGCUUGGAGAUGCCAGGAACCACAGGGCUCCCAAGAAAGAGUCAUAGCCCUGGCUUGGGGAGCUCCCAGGUCUGGGCUUCCCGAAGGGCCAUAGCUAUUCUUUCUUUCUCUUCACCCUCAAUGUAGUGAGCAAGGGGCAUGUUUCAACCCUGUUUGUGUUACAGCUCUUUUAGCCCUACCAUUCAAUGGGUCCCAAGUUCUUGUCCUAUAACCAGGAAGAAUGAGGUACCCAGACAAGUGGAGGGUGAGCAAGAUGAAAAGGAGCUUUACUGAGCGACAGAACAGUUUGGAGGAAACCCGCAGUGGGUAGCUCCUUUCCACAGCCAGGGUGUCCUGAUGAGUGUUCAGCUCCUAGCAAAGAGGAGGCCCUGGAGUGGGAAGCUCCUCUUUGCAUGCAGGUGGUCACAUUGUCUCUGCAGCUCUCAGCAGAGAGGAGGCCCUGGAGUGGGUAGCUCCUCUCUGCUGUUGGUCAUCCUAAUGUCUGCUCAGCUCUGGUUGAGCGCAGGGGUAUUAUGGGCUUCAGAGGGGGGAAAGUGUAUGCCAACUGGUCCAUGGGCAGGCCCAGAAAAGGCACCACAAGCUCCCACUCUGGUCUGUGGGGCUGGCAGCCCGACGCCAGCCUUCAGGCCCUCCCUGGCCUGAAGGUGGGGCCUCACUGGGGACCUGCCCCCUUCUGCCCAGGAGCCCAUCUGCCUCCUGCCACUGCACAUGGCACCCAGGCUGCUCACAGCAAGGGGCACCUACAGGCCAGGGCAAGCCGCCCUCAACUUCGUCAUUGUGUAUACUUUUUUUUACAUUGUUGAAUUCUACUUGCUAAUUUAAAAAAAUGUUGCAUCUAUAUUCAUGAUAUUAGUCUUUUGUUUUUUGUACUAUCUUUUUUUUUUGGUUUGAGUAUCAGAUUUAGUACUAGCUUCAUAAAAUAAAUGGGAAAGUCUACUCUCAUCUUCAAUUUUCUGGAAGAGAUUUUGUAGAAUUAGUGUUAAUUCUUUUUUAAACUUUUGGUAGAAUUGUCCAGUGAACUCUCCUGGUCUAGGAGCUGUUUUUAAAUUUUAGUUUUAAAAUUACAAAUUCAACUUUUAAAAUUCCAUUUCAUACUGGGUGAGUUGUAGUUUUUGAGGAAUUGGCCUGUUUAAUUUAAGCUGUCAAAUUUAUGUGGGUAGAGUUGUUUGUAGUAUUCCCCUACUAUCCUUCUGAUGUACACAGAGCCUGUAGUGAUAUCCCAUUUCAUCCUUGAUGUUUCAUUCCGUUUCACCCUCUUUCUUUUCUCUCCUUAUUACUGGUUGUGGGAAUGGGAAUUCCAGCUUCUCCCUAGGCCUCUACUAAGACCUCCCUGACUUGGGGGACAGUUGGGUGGGGCGGCUCAUGACUGCUCCCCAAGGGGCCUCCACUGACACAAGGGGUGGUGGCCUCAUUACCACUAGUUGGUGGUGAAAGUCCUGAUCCCCCUCUGGGUUUUCUGGUACACUGCCCCAGCAGAGCAGAGAGGGGCACCUCAUGACUGCUGGAUGGGAGUGGAAGUCCAGACUCCCCCACUGUCUUCACUGAUAUUGCAGGGAGCCCAUGGGGAGAGUUGGGGUGCCUCUUUACAGCCUGGUGUGGGUGGAAUUCUAGGAUCUCCACCUCUGCCUUUGCUUGUGUGAGUGUGGGUAGGGCCACAGUCUUUCUGUGGUGUUCGGCUGGAGUAGAGAGGUUAUUGUCUCAAGGUUUUCUGUCUCGUAAGGCUGCCCAUUUUCUGCUUUCUGUUUUGUUUUUGCUUUGUAUAGAGGGAGUAGGCUUUUGAUGGGGCUUUUCCCCCCAUCUCAAACACUAGAAUUUCCAGGUCGCGAGCUUCUUCAGUUCUAAGUCUGGGAUAUAUGAGGCAAAAUGAAAGCCAGGAGAAUGCACUAUGCGGUCCCAAGUUUCCUAGCUGGUCUGCCUUCUUUUCUCAACUUUUCAGAAUAUUUUUAUACUUGCUUUACAUACAAACUAAAUCUACUGAAAAAAUACAAUAAUCAAAAUAAAUGGAUGGGCUCAAUAGCCAAUAGAGGAGACAGAGGAAAAAAAAAUCACUGCACUGACAACUAUAACUAGAGAAAUCACCCAGACUGAAAAACAGAGAGAAAAUAAAUGGAAAAAAAUGAAUGGAGCUUCAGGGACCUGUGAGACUAUCACAGGGUCCAGUGUUUGUGUCAUCGAACUUGCAGAAGGAGAAGAGAAAGAAGACAAGGCUGAAAAGGUAUUCAAAGAAAUAAUGGCUGAAAGUUUCCCAAAUGUUCAGAGUUUUUAGUUGUCCUUACUGGGAGGAAUAGGGAGAAGCGUGUCUGCUCUAUCUUCCUGAAAGCUAAAGAACCAAGCACUGCUGGAUGGGGACCCAGGGUCUCCAAGCUGAGAAGAACACUGAUAAGGCAUGCACGGAAGCAGUCCUGGGAGGACUCUGCCACAGGCACAAACACCACUGGACACCCAAAGUCAUACUGCUGGGCGCUGGAGUCCAUUGCUUCUUCUGAGAAGAAUCGCUAACUUUUCUCGGGUCUUUGUACCUUUAGCCCCUGAUUCAAAGUCUUAGGGAGGCUCACCUAAGUGGCCAGUCGCAGGGAGUGUGCCCAGCCCUGCCUGUCAGCAGGUGUGGAAAGGAAAUGUACAGCAUUCUGCAGCAUCCCUGGUGGAAGCUGGAGCCUGUCUUCCAUUAAGCCGUACUCACUGUGGGAUUCCUCAAUUUGUCCAAUUAGGAGCACUCAGCCCCAUGAAAUGAUCUUAAUGACUCCACAAGAAAUAAAUGCUGAAGAAAAAUGGACUCCAGCCUCCUAGGCCCAGGAUUUCUUGAUGUUUCUUUGGUGUUUGGGAGGACACUGUAUUUCUGCAGCUUCAGGAUGGCUUAUGUACUCUCUGGCCUGUAUUUGUUCCUAGCACCCCUGGUUUGAGUUUACCAGAAGCCAGUGUGAGAUUCAGGGGCCAAUGUGUACUAUCAGCGACAAAUAUUGGUUAUCAGGUGAGAGGUCCUGUCUAAAGUGAAGCUGUGCUUGGAGCUCAGAUACUGACUCCAUGUGAAUGCAAUGGAUCUUGUGUGUUAGGAGGACAAGACUCCUGGAAUAGAAAUUCAGUGAGACCUCACACCAGAGCUCUAGGCAGGGGUGGAAAAGCCCCAGGCAAGGAGCUGGGCUAUAAACAAUUCUUGAUCCUUCUGUUCAGAGUGUGCAAAAUUUGCAUGGUGUUACCCCAUGCAGAGACAACUUGGGUUGUGUGCCAAUGGACGUUUCAGGGCACUUCUCAAAGGAGGGAGCUAAGCUGAGGGGCUUGGCAGGGGGCAGACUCCACAAUAAAAGGCUUAUUGGAUGUCUGUGAGGGUACACUCAAGACAGGAGAGAGUCAGCAGGCCCAGCUGAGAAAAUUCAAUCUCAACCUUCUCUAAAGACAUUCUCUGAAGACACAUGCUUUAUUUUCCACUCAUUCUUUCCUGAUCUGAGCUGGCCCUACACUCAUAUUAUAUCCAUCAUUGUCUUUGGCUUCUAAGGAUGUGCUGAUUGCCCUAUAGAUUGACAUACAAAGUUCAGAACGAUAAAAAUGGAAAGGCAUUAUAGUAUUAUCUAAAUAUGCCUCCUCAAUUUAAAGAUUAAUAAAACUGGGCUAGACUAGGUCACACAGUUGGUUAGAGGCAAUGUCAAGAUUAGAAGUUGCCCCAUUCUCAGUGUGCUGUUCAUCAUUCCAAAUAAAAUCAAAAUAAGAUAUCUUUAAAGGUUUCUCACUAGAAAUGAUGAUGAAGAGAGCACCAUCAAUAAAAGAGACAGACGUGCCUGAAAGCUCCUUCCCUGCCCUGCCCUUUCCAGUUUCCUGUGGAUUCUCAAGACCAUGAAAGGUUAGAAAUAUUAGCUGCAGAGAGAAAAGAAACAUAACAUGAACAUAUUUUCCUAUCAGUGGAUUUUCCCCUACAAGAUCAUUUUUGAAGAAGCUAAUGGUUAGGAGCACGGCCUCUGGGGCCAGACUUCCUAGACUCAAAUCCUGGCUCCAUGUCUUACUAGGUAUAUGACCUUGGGCAAAUUAACCUCUGUGCUUUGGUCUACCCAUCUGUAAAACAGGGAUAACAGUAUCUACUUCAUAGGUUGUUAUGAGGAUUAAAUAACCGUUUCGUCUUAUCUAUAUCCAUCUAUCUCUACAUAGAUAUAUAUAUGUAUAUAUAUCCUAGAAUAGUGCUUGGCAUGUAGUAAACUCUGCUAUAGCAGAGUUUUCUAUUAUCGACAAAUAGCAAGAUAUUCUGCCCUUUGGAUGUGUGAUAAUUUCUUUAGCCAAUCCCUUACUAUUGUAUAUUUGAUGGCCUUCAGCUUUUUGUUGUUAUUCAAAGGAGGAUAAAUUAUCACUAAAUCCAUCGGAAAUAAAUGUCUACACUCUCCAAAUAAUCCAUGUGAGAGUUACAAUGGACAGGUAGGUGCCAUUUCCUUCCUGUUUUUUUCUGGUAGCAAAGUAGGACAGGAAAUGUAGAGUCUAGUUGGGUGGCCAUAUGCCCUGCCAGAAUUCACUGGGGAGUUCUACUAUUAAAGGAAGAAGGGAACCAUGGCUACUGCAGGGCUAUCAGCAGACCCUGCCACAGCUUUUAACAUCCAUCCUAUCCCCUAGACUACAACUCUGUGGAAGUUUGGUUAAACAAGGUAAUCACAGGACUACCCUUAUGUUGUCACACUUUAGUGGAUAAAUGUUUAAAAAAACCUGGAUCUAUUUUUAUCAUCCCUUAAAUUUCAAACUCCCUUUGUCACCUGGUUUUAGGUACAUUUUUUUACAAGCCAUACAUAGUUGGAUUUAGUUUUCUAACUCACUGUUAAACUACCUCUGUCUUUGAUGUAGGAAUUCAAUUUGUUCAUAUUAUUUGUGAUAACAUUUAUUGAUUCUUUUUCAUUUUUACUUGUUUAAAGUCUAUUGUACUUUUCUUUUCCACUUUCCUUACUUUUUCUAUCUUGGUCAGUGUUCACUUUAUCAUUUAAAAAAAUUUAGGAGAAAUUCUACUAGGAAACAAAUGGAAAAAGACAAUCAAGAAAAUCAAGGGUAGGCCUAAAUGACUACUGGUAUGGAUACUUGUAAAAAGUCAUUAAAGAGACUUGAACUACAGAAAAACAGAUAAAUGUAAAAAAAACUUAGCUGCAAUUCUUACUACAAAACAUCACCUUUGUUAAUGUUCUAAUGCAUUAAGACUUUUCUGGAAAAUCAGAUAUUCUAUUAACAGAUAUUCAUAUGGAUAUAAA